GAGGGUAUAGCUUAGUAGUAGAGUGCUGUGCUUAGCAGCACUAGCAUGCACGAGGUCCUGGGUUCAAUCCCCAGUACCACUG
This 82-nucleotide transfer RNA is filed under the name Camelus bactrianus (Bactrian camel). It matches the Rfam family "tRNA". From Rfam's summary of the family: Transfer RNA (tRNA) molecules are approximately 80 nucleotides in length. The record is from Rfam by way of RNAcentral. Lineage: Eukaryota; Metazoa; Chordata; Mammalia; Artiodactyla; Camelidae. RNAcentral also lists the same sequence under 2 other names.